GGAAGAGGAAGAGUUGAAGUGGCGUAGGACCCAGAGAGGCACACUUGCGUCAUUCACUUAACGAGUCACACACACCUGCCGCGCUCCACAAAGCGCAGUAGAGGCGGCGCACAACACUGACCACCACCACCACCACUACUACCCUUCCCUCAGCUAGCCAGGCAACACGUGGCUCCAGGAAGGACUGUGUAAGGGGACCCCAAGUAAACCUCUUAUACUAACCGAGGGUUUACCACAGCGCCUUCAUUCCCUCCCCACCCCGUCAUGAAGGAAAGGGGAAAGGAAGGAAGAAGGAUGAGGAGAGAGGAAGGUGUGGGGUGGAGGGUCAGGGAGGAAGAGCCACCUGCCAGCCAUCAACAAAACUCCAGCUGGCUUUGAAUAAUGUGUAAGGAAUCUAGGCCAGGUGGUCAUAAGGUGUCUUAGGUGUGUUUGGCAUAAGAUGUUACAACUACGUGGUGUUUUGAGGAAGGAAGGACAUUGUACACGCCACCAGCCUUCCCUCCCGCCCUGAGUGAGACAGACACAGACAGGUGGCCUUCCUCCCGGCACACUGCUGCUGGAAAGGUGGCAAGUGAGGGAGCUUGUUAAUCUUUGUGGUGGUGGUGGUGGUGGUCGUGUUCCUCUUCCUUAAGUGCUGACACGAGUCCAGCCCAUUAAUGUAAUUCUUAUUUGCAUUCAUUUUAUCGUAGUGUACGUUGAAGUUUUUCGUUCUUCUUGGGAAGGAAGAAAACUAAAUCUUAUGGGGGACUU
Molecule: long non-coding RNA, 750 nt
Organism: Portunus trituberculatus (swimming crab)
Lineage: Eukaryota; Metazoa; Arthropoda; Malacostraca; Decapoda; Portunidae
Exons: 4
Source: RefSeq, a predicted model, not a curated record